AAUUUUACAAAUUUACAAAAUAAAUUUAAAUUUAUAAAAAUUCUGUGAACUGUUAUAUAAAAUAUAUUAUCUUCUUUUUAUAAAAUUUACCCACCAUCAAUCAAUUCAUCUUUAGAGCAUGAAAACAUAUUUUCUACUAAUAGUUCUUUCAUGGAGUAUCGUUUUUACAAUUCAGGAAAAUUGUCUCUCAUCAAUUAUUUCUAAGAUCGCCAUCCCAGAUAAGGAAAAGUUUGUAUUAUGUCAAAUAAUAUUUCGAUAUCAGGUAUUAGAUAUACCCAUUUUGGGACGGUUGUCCAGUGAAGAUUUACAAGAUAAUGUCAACAGUUUUAUGGAUAAUUCAUUUUAUGGAAGUCCAAGAAUGAAGAAAAACGUUAAGUAUCGUGUUUGGCUUAGAAACGAUGAUGAAUUCUCAAAAAAAACCAAUUAUCCAUUUCUAAGAUUUGGAAGAUAAUUAUUAUUCAAUGGUAACUAUUUAAGCUUCAUAUAUAAAAUUAUUUUAUGGAAUAUUUUAUACUAAAGGCAAAAUUUAUAUAUAAACAUAAACUUUUAUAUACAACUUUUUACAUUAUACAAAUUAAUUUUAUUUAACUUAUUA
Long non-coding RNA from Gordionus sp. m RMFG-2023, 595 nucleotides. RefSeq lists it as uncharacterized. The record is from RefSeq and is a predicted model, not a curated record. The transcript has 4 exons. Lineage: Eukaryota; Metazoa; Nematomorpha; Gordioida; Chordodea; Parachordodidae.